This 1116-nucleotide ribosomal RNA is filed under the name Sesame phyllody phytoplasma. RNAcentral's name for it is "bacterial SSU rRNA". It matches the Rfam family "Bacterial small subunit ribosomal RNA", at positions 211 to 1335 of the family's 1533-position model. Lineage: Bacteria; Bacillati; Mycoplasmatota; Mollicutes; Acholeplasmatales; Acholeplasmataceae. The record is from RNAcentral.
AGGUAUGCUUAGGGAGGAGCUUGCGUCACAUUAGUUAGUUGGUGGGGUAAAGGCCUACCAAGACUAUGAUGUGUAGCCGGGCUGAGAGGUUGAACGGCCACAUUGGGACUGAGACACGGCCCAAACUCCUACGGGAGGCAGCAGUAGGGAAUUUUCGGCAAUGGAGGAAACUCUGACCGAGCAACGCCGCGUGAACGAUGAAGUAUUUCGGUACGUAAAGUUCUUUUAUUAGGGAAGAAUAAAUGAUGGAAAAAUCAUUCUGACGGUACCUAAUGAAUAAGCCCCGGCUAACUAUGUGCCAGCAGCCGCGGUAAUACAUAGGGGGCAAGCGUUAUCCGGAAUUAUUGGGCGUAAAGGGUGCGUAGGCGGUUAAAUAAGUUUAUGGUCUAAGUGCAAUGCUCAACAUUGUGAUGCUAUAAAAACUGUUUAGCUAGAGUAAGAUAGAGGCAAGUGGAAUUCCAUGUGUAGUGGUAAAAUGCGUAAAUAUAUGGAGGAACACCAGUAGCGAAGGCGGCUUGCUGGGUCUUUACUGACGCUGAGGCACGAAAGCGUGGGGAGCAAACAGGAUUAGAUACCCUGGUAGUCCACGCCGUAAACGAUGAGUACUAAACGUUGGGUAAAACCAGUGUUGAAGUUAACACAUUAAGUACUCCGCCUGAGUAGUACGUACGCAAGUAUGAAACUUAAAGGAAUUGACGGGACUCCGCACAAGCGGUGGAUCAUGUUGUUUAAUUCGAAGGUACCCGAAAAACCUCACCAGGUCUUGACAUGCUUCUGCAAAGCUGUAGAAACACAGUGGAGGUUAUCAGUUGCACAGGUGGUGCAUGGUUGUCGUCAGCUCGUGUCGUGAGAUGUUGGGUUAAGUCCCGCAACGAGCGCAACCCUUAUUGUUAGUUACCAGCACGUAAUGGUGGGGACUUUAGCAAGACUGCCAGUGAUAAAUUGGAGGAAGGUGGGGACGACGUCAAAUCAUCAUGCCCCUUAUGACCUGGGCUACAAACGUGAUACAAUGGCUGUUACAAAGGGUAGCUGAAGCGCAAGUUUUUGGCGAAUCUCAAAAAAACAGUCUCAGUUCGGAUUGAAGUCUGCAACUCGACUUCAUGAAGUUGGAAUCGC